AUUGAAAAUGUCCAUGGCUGUUUGAAAACAGCGCCGUUGCUGGGAACAGCUGCGUUCGUCUUCUCCAUCCCGGUUCAGUAGGCUGAAGAUCUGCAACAAACUUGAUCUGAUCGUGGACCACGAUCCCUCUCAUGAUUUGAAUAAAAGUCCUGCAAAGAUGGGUUUGAUGGGGCUAUAAGAAGAGGAAACCAAACGCAAGCAGGGGAGGAGGGGGGCAGAAGGAAAACCCAGAACCAGAGGGGAACGCAAGCAAAACACAAAGAAAAAACCCAGGAACAAAGGGGGAAAUAAACCCAGAAACAGGAGCAAAACAGAGCAUAAACACAAAAAAAAAUACACAGAGAGAAGGGGAGAAAAGUAGAAAGGAAUCAUAGAUCAACCUGCCAUCAUCUUCAUCCCUGCACAAAAAAAUCAACCCAAAACAGAGCCAAGAACCGAAGAAAGACAGAGCAUGUGAGAGCAAGACGAAAAAGAAAAAAACAGACCGAGAGAGAGCGGACAGACAUAUACGAAAAAAGGAAAAGCAGAGGAGAUAACGUGAACAAAAAGAGAACCAGGGAAACACCGAGAACCGAACACACGCAGCACAUAGAGAACGAAAAAACACAGGGGAGAACGAACGGACAACUAGAAGUAGAGGGGAUACGAACUACCGAGAGAAGAAGAAGCAGAGGGCAGGAAAGCAAAGGGUAGAAGGAAUUCCAGUUUCGCUAGGAGGAACGCCUUCACAGAUCUUCGCCCAAAACAGCAGCACUCCAG
RNAcentral lists this long non-coding RNA (759 nucleotides) under Populus tremula. RNAcentral describes it as "long non-coding RNA (PTRE_LNC002969)". The record is from RNAcentral. Lineage: Eukaryota; Viridiplantae; Streptophyta; Magnoliopsida; Malpighiales; Salicaceae.